Molecule: ribosomal RNA, 492 nt
Filed under: uncultured bacterium
Lineage: Bacteria
Description: partial 16S ribosomal RNA
Rfam family: Bacterial small subunit ribosomal RNA
Source: RNAcentral
AGUGAACGCUGGCGGUAGGCCUAACACAUGCAAGUCGAACGGCAGCACAGUAAGAGCUUGCUCUUACGGGUGGCGAGUGGCGGACGGGUGAGGAAUACAUCGGAAUCUACUUUUUCGUGGGGGAUAACGUAGGGAAACUUACGCUAAUACCGCAUACGACCUACGGGUGAAAGCAGGGGAUCUUCGGACCUUGCGCGAUUGAAUGAGCCGAUGUCGGAUUAGCUAGUUGGCGGGGUAAAGGCCCACCAAGGCGACGAUCCGUAGCUGGUCUGAGAGGAUGAUCGGCAACACUGGAACUGAGACACGGUCCAGACUCCUACGGGAGGCAGCAGUGGGGAAUAUUGGACAAUGGGCGCAAGCCUGCUCCAGCCAUACCGCGUGGGUGAAGAAGGCCUUCGGGUUGUAAAGCCCUUUUGUUGGGAAAGAAAAGCAGCAGGUUAAUACCCCGCUGUUCUGACGGUACCCAAAGAAUAAGCACCGGCUAACUUCGUG